This 497-nucleotide ribosomal RNA is filed under the name uncultured bacterium. Its description in RNAcentral is "partial 16S ribosomal RNA". It matches the Rfam family "Bacterial small subunit ribosomal RNA", at positions 28 to 507 of the family's 1533-position model. The record is from RNAcentral.
GAUGAACGCUGGCGGCGUGCCUAAUACAUGCAAGUCGAGCGAACAGACGAGGAUCUUGCUCCUUCGACGUUAGCGGCGGACGGGUGAGUAACACGUGGGUAACCUACCUAUAAGACUGGGAUAACUUCGGGAAACCGGAGCUAAUACCGGAUAAUAUUUCGAACCGCAUGGUUCGAUAGUGAAAGAUGGCUUUGCUAUCACUUAUAGAUGGACCUGCGCCGUAUUAGCUAGUUGGUAAGGUAACGGCUUACCAAGGCAACGAUACGUAGCCGACCUGAGAGGGUGAUCGGCCACACUGGAACUGAGACACGGUCCAGACUCCUACGGGAGGCAGCAGUAGGGAAUCUUGCGCAAUGGGCGAAAGCCUGACGGAGCAACGCCGCGUGAGUGAUGAAGGUCUUCGGAUCGUAAAACUCUGUUAUUAGGGAAGAACAAACGUGUAAGUAAAUGUGCACGUCUUGACGGUACCUAAUGAGAAAGCCACGGCUAACUACGUG